UGGUUCCGCGCCGACAAUGUAGCGGGGCUCAAGCACACCACCGAAGACGCGGCAGCGGCCUUUGCGGCCGUUGGGUAGGAGAGCGUCCCGCGUGGGGCGAAGCGGCCGGGGAACCGUGCCGUGGACCGCGCGGGAGUGAGAAUGCAGACAUGAGUAGCGAGAGACGGGUGAGGAUCCCGUCCGCUGGAUGACCAAGGGUUCCGGGGCCACGUUCGUCGUCCCCGGGUGAGUCGGGUCCUAAGGCGAGGCCGACAGGCGUAGUCGAAUGGAUGAACGGGUGGAUAUUCCCGUACCGACCAUGGACCGGCAAAACCGAGACGGUGAGUACUAACCUCCGCCUCGUGGUGGUUCCUUCCUUCGGGUUGGUUCCAUCGCGUGGUGUUGGGAGCGUAGCCGCAGUAGGUCAGCGCAGGGGUGACACGGAAUGGGAGCCGGCCGCGGAGGUGGUUUUCCGUGGUCAAGCACGCAGCCAGUCGUGUAGGCAAAUCCGCAUGGCAUGCAUGGCGAGGUGUGAUGAUGGGAGCCGUUAUGGUUCGAUAUCCGGUUGUCCAGGCCGUCGAGAAAAGCCUCGGCGUGAGGGCCAUGGCCGCCCGUACCCCAAACCGACACUGGUGGUCAGGUAGAGAAUACCAAGGCGAUCGAGCGAAUCCUGGUCAAGGAACUCGGCAAAUCACUCCCGUGCCUUCGGUAUAAGGGAGACCCCCGGGCGUGAAGAGGCUUGCCCUCGGAGCGUUGGGGGGUGGCACAGACCAGGGGGUAGCGACUGUUUACCAAAAACACAGGUGCAUGCGAAGGCGCAAGCCGCUGUAUAUGCACUGACGCCUGCCCGGUGCCGGAAGGUUAAGAGGAUCCGUCAGUCCCUUUUGGGGUGAAGCGGUGAAUUCAAGCCCCGGUAAACGGCGGUGGUAACUAUAACCAUCCUAAGGUAGCGAAAUUCCUUGUCGGGUAAGUUCCGACCUGCACGAAUGGCGUAACGACUUCCCCACUGUCUCGACCAGGAGCUCGGCGAAAUUGCAGUACGAGUAAAGAUGCUCGUUAAGCGCAGAAGGACGAAAAGACCCCGGGACCUUUACUAUACCUUGGUAUUGGCAUUCGGUGUGGAUUGUGUAGCAUAGGCGGGAGGCCGAGAGGCGCGGUCGCCAGAUCGCGCGGAGCCGUAAGGUGAAAUACCGCUCUGUUCGCAUUGGAUGUCUAACCUCGAGCAGUCAUCCUGUUCAGGGACAGUGCCUGGCGGGUAGUUUAACUGGGGCGGUUGCCUCCCAAAGAGUAACGGAGGCGCCCAAAGGUCCGCUCAGCCCGGUUGGCAAUCGGGUGGCGAGUGCAAGUGCACAAGCGGGCUUGACUGCGAGGACGACGGUCCGAGCAGGGACGAAAGUCGGGACUAGUGAUCCGGUGCCGGUGUACGGACGCGGCAUCGCUCAACGGAUAAAAGGUACCCCGGGGAUAACAGGCUGAUCAUUCC
RNAcentral lists this ribosomal RNA (1462 nucleotides) under human gut metagenome. RNAcentral's name for it is "bacterial LSU rRNA". It matches the Rfam family "Bacterial large subunit ribosomal RNA", at positions 1154 to 2492 of the family's 2925-position model. The record is from RNAcentral.